UCUCCCUUUCCCUUUUUCACCCAUCGUCGCCUCUCCGCCAUGCUCUACCACAUUUCCUCCACCGUAGGCAAUGAUUGACGUUUCCUGUCACUAUCCAAUCCCUCCAUUCACGCUCUGUACGCACACUAUCGUACAAACGUCGCCACUCAGGCCGAAUGCUUCUUCGUUAAGCUCAUGAAGAAAGAGGUGGAAUUUCUCUCCGAUUCGUAUUGGAUUGGUGUGUUGAGCAUUAUAAGCUCUUUCUAAGAUGGAAAUCGGAGAGGCACUGGUUGAAUGAUAAAGUGACUGAAUAGUUUGUAUUUCUCAGCCCUCUUCUAUGCAUAACAUUAAGAUGGCAGCAAGAUAGAUUAGAAGUUUACUAUUUUUUUUAUAACUGAGAGUCUGAGACAAUAAUCAUCAACAGGUUGAAAAUAAUGAGAUUACUCUAGAAGAUAUAGCAAAUUGAUAUUAUGUAUAUUUUGAUUUGGUAUAAAAUUCUUAUAUUUGCAUUUUUA
Non-coding RNA from Salvia hispanica, 494 nucleotides. NCBI's taxonomy places the organism in Eukaryota, Viridiplantae, Streptophyta, Magnoliopsida, Lamiales, Lamiaceae. The record is from RefSeq and is a predicted model, not a curated record.